GUGGGGAAUUUUGGACAAUGGGCGCAAGCCUGAUCCAGCAAUGCCGCGUGCAGGAAGAAGGCCUUCGGGUUGUAAACUGCUUUUGUACGGAACGAAACGGUCCUGGUUAAUACCUGGGGCUAAUGACGGUACCGUAAGAAUAAGCACCGGCUAACUACGUGCCAGCAGCCGCGGUAAUACGUAGGGUGCGAGCGUUAAUCGGAAUUACUGGGCGUAAAGCGUGCGCAGGCGGUGCUGUAAGACAGGCGUGAAAUCCCCGGGCUCAACCUGGGAAUUGCGCUUGUGACUGCAGUGGUGGAGUACGGCAGAGGGGGAUGGAAUUCCGCGUGUAGCAGUGAAAUGCGUAGAUAUGCGGAGGAACACCGAUGGCGAAGGCAGUCCCCUGGGCCUGUACUGACGCUCAUGCACGAAAGCGUGGGGAGCAAACAGGAUUAGAAACCCCGGUAGUCC
This 450-nucleotide ribosomal RNA is filed under the name uncultured bacterium. RNAcentral's name for it is "partial 16S ribosomal RNA". It matches the Rfam family "Bacterial small subunit ribosomal RNA", at positions 354 to 796 of the family's 1533-position model. The record is from RNAcentral.